AACGAGGAAUUCCUAGUAAACGCAAGUCAUCAGCUUGCAUUGAUUACGUCCCUGCCCUUUGUACACACCGCCCGUCGCUCCUACCGAUUGAGUGGUGAGGUGAACCCUUCGGACUGUUCACCCGGGAAGUUGUGUAAACCUUACCACUUAGAGGAAGGAGAAGUCGUAACAAGGUUUCUGUAGGUGAACCUGCAGAAGGAUCAUUA
RNAcentral lists this ribosomal RNA (206 nucleotides) under Condylostoma sp. SUAS-2014. RNAcentral's name for it is "partial 18S ribosomal RNA". It matches the Rfam family "Eukaryotic small subunit ribosomal RNA", at positions 1602 to 1831 of the family's 1831-position model. The record is from RNAcentral. Lineage: Eukaryota; Ciliophora; Heterotrichea; Heterotrichida; Condylostomatidae.